This 404-nucleotide ribosomal RNA is filed under the name uncultured bacterium. RNAcentral describes it as "bacterial SSU rRNA". It matches the Rfam family "Bacterial small subunit ribosomal RNA", at positions 29 to 429 of the family's 1533-position model. The record is from RNAcentral.
AUUGAACGCUGGCGGCAUGCCUAACACAUGCAAGUCGAACGGCAGCACAGCAGUAGCAAUACUGUGGGUGGCGAGUGGCGGACGGGUGAGGAAUACGUCGGAAUCUGCCCAGUCGUGGGGGAUAACUAGCCGAAAGGUUAGCUAAUACCGCAUACGACCGAGAGGUGAAAGCGGGGGACCGCAAGGCCUCGCGCGAUUGGAUGAGCCGACGUCGGAUUAGCUAGUUGGCGGGGUAAAGGCCCACCAAGGCGACGAUCCGUAGCUGGUCUGAGAGGAUGAUCAGCCACACUGGAACUGAGACACGGUCCAGACUCCUACGGGAGGCAGCAGUGGGGAAUAUUGGACAAUGGGCGCAAGCCUGAUCCAGCAAUGCCGCGUGUGUGAAGAAGGCCUUCGGUUGUAAG